AUCAACUUUCGAUGGUAGGAUAGAGGCCUACCAUGGUGGUAACGGGUAACGGGGUGUUAGGGCACGACACCGGAGAGGGAGCCUGAGAAACGGCUACCACAUCCAAGGAUGGCAGCAGGCGCGCAAAUUACCCAAUCCCGUCACGGGGAGGUAGUGACAAUAAAUAACAAUACGGGGUUCUAUAGGAUUUCGUAAUUGGAAUGAGUACAAUUUAAAUCUCUUAACGAUCAACAAUUGGAGGGCAAGUCUGGUGCCAGCAGCCGCGGUAAUUCCAGCUCCAAUAGCGUAUAUUAAAGUUGUUGCAGUUAAAAAGCUCGUAGUUGAAUUUCGGGGUUAGUAGGUUGGUCAUGCCUCUGGUAUGUACUGAUCUCACUGAUUCCUCCCUCUUGACGAACUGUAAUGUCAUUAAUUUGGUGUUGCAGGAAAUCAGGACUGUUACUUUGAAAAAAUUAGAGUGUUUAAAGCAGACUUAGGCUUGAAUACAUUAGCAUGGAAUAAUGAAAUAGGACGUUUGAACCUAUUUUGUUGGUUUCUGGGAUCGACGUAAUGAUUAAUAGGGAUAGUUGGGGGCAUUAGUAUUCAAUUGUCAGAGGUGAAAUUCUUGGAUUUAUUGAAGACUAACUACUGCGAAAGCAUUUGCCAAGGAUGUUUUCAUUAAUCAAGAACGAAAGUUAGGGGAUCGAAGACGAUCAGAUACCGUCGUAGUCUUAACCAUAAACUAUGCCGACUAGGGAUCGGAUGAUGUUAAUUUUUUAAUGACUCAUUCGGCGCCUUACGGGAAACCAAAGUGUUUGGGUUC
This 799-nucleotide ribosomal RNA is filed under the name uncultured Glomeromycotina. RNAcentral's name for it is "SSU rRNA". It matches the Rfam family "Eukaryotic small subunit ribosomal RNA", at positions 314 to 1114 of the family's 1831-position model. Lineage: Eukaryota; Fungi; Glomeromycota. The record is from RNAcentral.